This 446-nucleotide ribosomal RNA is filed under the name uncultured Hyphomicrobiales bacterium. RNAcentral describes it as "bacterial SSU rRNA". It matches the Rfam family "Bacterial small subunit ribosomal RNA", at positions 335 to 799 of the family's 1533-position model. The record is from RNAcentral. Lineage: Bacteria; Pseudomonadati; Pseudomonadota; Alphaproteobacteria; Hyphomicrobiales.
UGCCUACGGGCGGCUGCAGUGGGGAAUAUUGGACAAUGGGCGCAAGCCUGAUCCAGCCAUGCCGCGUGAGUGAUGAAGGCCCUAGGGUUGUAAAGCUCUUUCGACGGGGACGAUAAUGACGGUACCCGUAGAAGAAGCCCCGGCUAACUUCGUGCCAGCAGCCGCGGUAAUACGAAGGGGGCUAGCGUUGUUCGGAAUCACUGGGCGUAAAGCGCACGUAGGCGGAUCGUUAAGUCGGGGGUGAAAUCCCAGGGCUCAACCCUGGAACUGCCGUCGAUACUGGCGAUCUUCGAGUCCGGGAGAGGUGAGUGGAACUCCGAGUGUAGAGGUGAAAUUCGUAGAUAUUCGGAAGAACACCAGUGGCGAAGGCGGCUCACUGGCCCGGUACUGACGCUGAGGUGCGAAAGCGUGGGGAGCAAACAGGAUUAGAUACCCCGGUAGUCAGG